CGAGCUGAACGAACGUCGCGCUGGCUGCCCGUCACAAUUUGUAUACUUUAAUUUAUUUAUAAAAAAAAUCCAAAUUUGAAAAUGCAGUUUUUAAUCGUUUUUAUUUUUCUGUGCGUGGUUGUAGUUUGUGGACAGGACUGCAGAGUUCGCGGACAAUGGUGCGCAGAUCAUGAAUAUUGUUGCGGUGGAUGUUGUUUUGAUAACAUUUGUUACGACACUUACAGAUCCUGCUUGGCUCCCUUUGACGUUUGCAAAGACUAUACCUGCAGGGGAGAGGAAAAUUGUUUCGUUUACAAGCCCCCGGAAUGUCGUGGCUGUGAGCCCCUACCUUUAUGCAGAUUGGAAGAGCCUUAGCGAAAAAUGUACUACGGUGAAGAAAUUGCGAUGGAAUUCACACCAUUUAUUAUAAUCUGAUCCAUGUUUCUAGUAAGAAAUCAGGAGUAUGAAAAUCAUAAGAUUGAUGAAGAUGAAUCGAUGGGAGUGAAGAAGAACAACGAUGUAAGAUACUAAGAACAAAAAGUUUGUGAGUUCGAUUUUUAACAUG
Molecule: long non-coding RNA, 544 nt
Organism: Papilio machaon (common yellow swallowtail)
Lineage: Eukaryota; Metazoa; Arthropoda; Insecta; Lepidoptera; Papilionidae
Exons: 3
Source: RefSeq, a predicted model, not a curated record